RNAcentral lists this ribosomal RNA (2899 nucleotides) under Xanthomonas oryzae. Its description in RNAcentral is "23S ribosomal RNA". It matches the Rfam family "Bacterial large subunit ribosomal RNA". Lineage: Bacteria; Pseudomonadati; Pseudomonadota; Gammaproteobacteria; Lysobacterales; Lysobacteraceae. The record is from RNAcentral.
GUUAUAUGGUCAAGCGAAUAAGCGCACACGGUGGAUGCCUAGGCGGUCAGAGGCGAUGAAGGACGUGGUAGCCUGCGAAAAGUGUCGGGGAGCUGGCAACAAGCUUUGAUCCGGCAAUAUCCGAAUGGGGAAACCCACUGCUUCGGCAGUAUCCUGCAGUGAAUUCAUAGCUGCUGGAAGCGAACCCGGUGAACUGAAAUAUCUAAGUAACCGGAGGAAAAGAAAUCAACCGAGAUUCCCUAAGUAGUGACGAGCGAACGGGGAGCAGCCCUUAAGCUGGAAUGGCUUUAGAAAAACAAUCUGGAAAGAUUGGCCAUAGAAGGUGAUAGCCCUGUAUUUAAAAGGGCCACUCCAGUGAAGACGAGUAGGGCGGGGCACGUGAAACCCUGUCUGAACAUGGGGGGACCAUCCUCCAAGGCUAAAUACUCCUGACCGACCGAUAGUGAACCAGUACCGUGAGGGAAAGGCGAAAAGAACCCCGGAGAGGGGAGUGAAAUAGAUCCUGAAACCGUGUGCGUACAAGCAGUAGGAGCUCGCAAGAGUGACUGCGUACCUUUUGUAUAAUGGGUCAGCGACUUACUGUUCGUGGCAAGCUUAACCGUAUAGGGGAGGCGAAGGGAAACCGAGUCUGAUAAGGGCGCAUAGUCGCGGGCAGUAGACCCGAAACCGGGUGAUCUAGUCAUGGCCAGGGUGAAGGUGCCGUAACAGGUACUGGAGGCCCGAACCCACGUCUGUUGCAAAAGACGGGGAUGAGCUGUGAUUAGGAGUGAAAAGCUAAUCGAACCCGGAGAUAGCUGGUUCUCCUCGAAAGCUAUUUAGGUAGCGCCUCGGACGAAUACUACUGGGGGUAGAGCACUGUUAUGGCUAGGGGGUCAUCGCGACUUACCAAACCAUUGCAAACUCCGAAUACCAGUACGUACUAUCCGGGAGACACACGGCGGGUGCUAACGUCCGUCGUGAAAAGGGAAACAACCCAGACCCACAGCUAAGGUCCCAAAUUCACUGCUAAGUGGAAAACGAUGUGGAAAGGCAUAGACAGCCAGGAGGUUGGCUUAGAAGCAGCCACCCUUUAAAGAAAGCGUAAUAGCUCACUGGUCGAGUCGGUCUGCGCGGAAGAUUUAACGGGGCUAAGCAGUGAACCGAAGCUUGGGGUGCGUAAAACUUCGGUUUUAUGCGCGGUAGAGGAGCGUUCCGUAAGCCUGCGAAGGUGGAUUGAGAAGUCUGCUGGAGGUAUCGGAAGUGCGAAUGCUGACAUGAGUAACGAUAAUGCGGGUGAAAAGCCCGCACGCCGAAAGCCCAAGGUUUCCUUGCGCAACGUUAAUCGACGCAGGGUUAGUCGGUCCCUAAGGCGAGGGCGAAAGCCGUAGUCGAUGGGAAGCAGGUUAAUAUUCCUGCACCUCGCGUGAGUGCGAUGGAGGGACGGAGAAGGUUAGGUGUACCGGGCGUUGGUUGUCCCGGGGAAAGGCGGUAGGUUUGGAUCUUUGGCAAAUCCGGGAUCCUUUAAGACCGAGCACCGAGACGAGCCUUUAUGGCGAAGUCACUGAUACCACGCUUCCAGGAAAAGCUCCUAAGCUUCAGCUCACGAAGACCGUACCGUAAACCGACACAGGUGGGUAGGAUGAGAAUUCUCAGGCGCUUGAGAGAACUCGGGUGAAGGAACUAGGCAACAUGGCACCGUAACUUCGGGAGAAGGUGCACCCUUUUUGGUGGCUCAUGCGAGCUAUAGCUGAAGAGGGUCGCAGAAACCAGGCCGCUGCGACUGUUUAUCAAAAACACAGCACUCUGCAAACACGAAAGUGGACGUAUAGGGUGUGACGCCUGCCCGGUGCUGGAAGGUUAAUUGAUGGGGUCAGCCGCAAGGCGAAGCUCUUGAUCGAAGCCCCAGUAAACGGCGGCCGUAACUAUAACGGUCCUAAGGUAGCGAAAUUCCUUGUCGGGUAAGUUCCGACCUGCACGAAUGGCGUAACGACAGCGGCGCUGUCUCCACCCGAGACUCAGUGAAAUUGAAAUCGCUGUGAAGAUGCAGCGUUCCCGUGGCAAGACGGAAAGACCCCGUGAACCUUUACUAUAGCUUUACACUGAACGUUGAGUUCGUCUGUGUAGGAUAGGUGGGAGGCUAUGAAACUGUGGCGCUAGCUGCAGUGGAGCCAUCCUUGAAAUACCACCCUGUCGUGCUUGACGUUCUAACCUAGGUCCGUUAUCCGGAUCAGGGACCGUGUAUGGUGGGUAGUUUGACUGGGGCGGUCUCCUCCUAAAGAGUAACGGAGGAGCACGAAGGUACGCUCAGCGCGGUCGGACAUCGCGCACUGUGUGCAAAGGCAUAAGCGUGCUUGACUGCAAGAUCGACGGAUCAAGCAGGUACGAAAGUAGGUCUUAGUGAUCCGGUGGUUCUGUAUGGAAGGGCCAUCGCUCAACGGAUAAAAGGUACUCCGGGGAUAACAGGCUGAUACCGCCCAAGAGUUCAUAUCGACGGCGGUGUUUGGCACCUCGAUGUCGGCUCAUCACAUCCUGGGGCUGUAGUCGGUCCCAAGGGUAUGGCUGUUCGCCAUUUAAAGUGGUACGCGAGCUGGGUUCAGAACGUCGUGAGACAGUUCGGUCCCUAUCUGCCAUGGGCGUUGGAAGUUUGAGAGGGGCUGCUCCUAGUACGAGAGGACCGGAGUGGACGAACCUCUGGUGUUCCGGUUGUCACGCCAGUGGCAUUGCCGGGUAGCUAUGUUCGGAAGCGAUAACCGCUGAAAGCAUCUAAGCGGGAAGCGCGCCUCAAGAUGAGACUUCCCGGGGCACAAGCCCCCUAAAGGAACCAUGUAGACUACGUGGUUGAUAGGUCAGGUGUGUAAGUACAGCAAUGUAUUGAGCUAACUGAUACUAAUGAUCCGUGCGGCUUGACCAUAUAACCUCA